AGGGAUCAUUACAGAGUUCCUGCCCUCACGGGUAGAUCUCCCACCCUUGUGUAUUUUUAUGAUGUCUUGUUGCUUUGGCAGGCCGCUGGGCUUCUUCGGCCUGGCCACCGGCUCCCUGGGGGCUGGUGCGCGCCUGCCAGAGGAUCUCUCAAACUCGGUUUGUUAGUGUCGUCUGAGUACUAUAACAAUCGUUAAAACUUUCAACAACGGAUCUCUUGGUUCUGGCAUCGAUGAAGAACGCAGCGAAAUGCGAUAAGUAAUGUGAAUUGCAGAAUUCAGUGAAUCAUCGAAUCUUUGAACGCACAUUGCGCCCCUUGGUAUUCCGAGGGGCAUGCCUGUUCGAGCGUCAUUUCAACCCCUCAAGCUCUGCUUGGUGUUGGGCAUUCGCCGCUUUCCCGCGGCGGGCCUUAAAAUCAGUGGCGGUGGCCGUCUUAGGCUCUAAGCGUAGUAGUAACCUCUCGCUCUGGAGACCCGGCGGUGACCUGCCAGACAACCUUUUUUACUUUUUUUCAAAGGUUKGACCUCGGAUCAGGUAGGGAUACCCGCUGAAU
Molecule: ribosomal RNA, 551 nt
Filed under: Scytalidium cuboideum
Lineage: Eukaryota; Fungi; Ascomycota; Leotiomycetes
Description: eukaryotic LSU rRNA
Rfam family: 5.8S ribosomal RNA (bases 196-349)
Source: RNAcentral